Molecule: ribosomal RNA, 254 nt
Filed under: uncultured bacterium
Lineage: Bacteria
Description: partial 16S ribosomal RNA
Rfam family: Bacterial small subunit ribosomal RNA
Source: RNAcentral
UACGGAGGGUGCGAGCGUUGUCCGGAAUCACUGGGCGUAAAGGGCGCGUAGGCGGCGCGGGUAGUCAUCGGUGAAAGUUCAGGGCUCAACUCUGAAUCGGCCGGUGAUACUCCCCGUGCUCGAGCACUGUAGAGGCAGGUGGGAAUUCCGGGUGUAGCGGUGGAAUGCGUAGAGAUCCGGAAGAACACCGGUGGCGAAGGCGGCCUGCUGGGCAGUAGCUGACACUGAGGCGCGACAGCGUGGGGAGCAAACAG